This 376-nucleotide ribosomal RNA is filed under the name uncultured bacterium. Its description in RNAcentral is "bacterial SSU rRNA". It matches the Rfam family "Bacterial small subunit ribosomal RNA", at positions 524 to 898 of the family's 1533-position model. The record is from RNAcentral.
UACGUAGGUGGCAAGCGUUGUCCGGAAUUACUGGGUGUAAAGGGCGUGUAGGCGGGGAUGCAAGUCAGAUGUGAAAGCCCAAGGCUCAACCUUGGGAUUGCAACUGAAACUGUAUUUCUUGAGUGCUGGAGAGGAAAGCGGAAUUCCUAGUGUAGCGGUGAAAUGCGUAGAGAUUAGGAGGAACACCAGUGGCGAAGGCGGCUUUCUGGACAGUAACUGACGCUGAGGCGCGAAAGCGUGGGGAGCAAACAGGAUUAGAUACCCUGGUAGUCCACGCCGUAAACGAUGGAUACUAGGUGUAGGAGGUAUCGACCCCUUCUGUGCCGGAGUUAACACAAUAAGUAUCCCACCUGGGGAGUACGAUCGCAAGAUUGAA